This is a long non-coding RNA of Bacillus rossius redtenbacheri, 820 nucleotides long. RefSeq lists it as uncharacterized. The transcript is spliced from 2 exons. The record is from RefSeq and is a predicted model, not a curated record. Lineage: Eukaryota; Metazoa; Arthropoda; Insecta; Phasmatodea; Bacillidae.
UUACCCAGCUAGGGCAUAUUCUGAAUUGAAACGCCAGUGAACGAAAACUCUCUCCCGUGGCCAUAAACCUAAAAGAGAAAAAAAUAUAUGUAGUUAUUUAUUUUAACUGCUUCAGGCUAUCUUGGCACCGAGUCGGUACCCAGAAAGUUCGAGGCCACUAUUAACUUAGUGAUCCCGUCACCUUAGACUAGAAGAGUAAAUCUGUGAGAUGUAUAUCUGUGUGUAAAAACAUUAGCUAUUUAAACAUAUUUUAUUUUAUUUUGGAGGCCUUUUUGGGGAAUCGUAAAAACCCAAUAAACCUAAGGACGUGAACAAUACCAGUACCCUAACUCACGACUCUUAUAGCACUUAGGUUGACGUUUUUUAAUUUUUUGCUGCUCAUAAAAACCUCACGAAAUAUGUUUAAGAAAAAGUUUGAUCAUUUAUUUACACAGAUUUUUGAAUUUUACAGCAGAAGACUGCAAAACGAGAUGGAGAACCAUUCGCGACUCCUACAGAAAAAGCAACAAGAAACUGAAAACUGGGUCGAAGACAGGUUCACCGGCAUUUUCAAAAUCGAAAUACAACACAGAAAGCCUGAAAUUCCUUGAUGAAACCUACAAAGAAAGAGCAUCAAAAUCAAGCAUCAACAUAAAUGAAAUAAUUGAAAAUAAUCAAGAAACACAAGAAAUGGUGGAUGACUGUCCCUCUGAAGAGUGCAACCAAUUUCAAGAAGAAGAAAGCGCUCAAGAAUCUACAAAUUGGCCUAGCGAGCAAACAAGUUCUUCAGAAUUGUUAAACAGCUCCAUUAAAAAAAGAAAAAUUACAGUAAAAGAAAAAA